This 2494-nucleotide unclassified non-coding RNA is filed under the name Neodiprion lecontei (redheaded pine sawfly). RNAcentral describes it as "polyribonucleotide nucleotidyltransferase 1, mitochondrial, transcript variant X2". Lineage: Eukaryota; Metazoa; Arthropoda; Insecta; Hymenoptera; Diprionidae. The record is from RNAcentral.
AAGCCGAGCGUUGGAGAUCUCCCUACUCAUCUCUGUCCAUACUCUUGCCUCUAGUCUCUAUGCGUGAUAUCUCCUCUAGUGAUACCGUCAUGGGAAGUAGCCGGUAUAAUCAAAAAUGGCGUCGAUUAUGUUUUUUAGGUUAUUGACAAAACGUAAAUUGCCAUCUAAAUAUAAAAGAAGUCUGUGUAUCCCUCGUAUAUCAAGUUGUAAAUACAGUACCCAGAAUCGACAGCUCGAGAAAUCAGAAGUCCGCGUUAAUCUUAGUAAUGGGAAUGAACUCACAUUCUCGACGGGUCAAUACGCCAAACUGGCAGAUGGAUGUGCGGUAGCAUCGAUCGGUGACACCGCCGUUAUGGUCACAACGGUCAGUAAAGUGAGAGCUUCAAAUAACUCAUUUUUACCGCUUGUCGUCGACUACAGGCAAAAGGCAGCAGCCGCUGGUCGAAUACCUACAAAUUUUUUCCGCAAGGAACUGGGUCCCACCGAACAUGAGAUCCUGACCAGUCGCCUAAUCGACCGUUCCCUGCGUCCGCUAUUCCCAGACAAAUACUGCUAUGACACUCAAGUGAUGUGCAACAUUUUGGCUGUCGAUGGAGUUAAUGACCCAGAUAUAAUUUCGAUAAACGCGGCAUCGGCAGCUUUGUCUUUGUCGGAUAUUCCUUGGAAUGGACCGGUCGGUGCUGUCAGAGUGGGAUUAGUCGAUCAAGAAAUCCUUAUAAACCCGACGAGAAGGCAGAUGCAAAAAAGUGAUCUGAAUCUAAUAGUCAGCGCAAUGGCGAACAGUCUUAUUGUCAUGCUCGAAGGCUCUGCAAACGAUAUACUUCAGCCUGAUUUUUUCAAGGCGUUAAAAGUUGGUGUCAAAGAAUGUCAGAACAUUGUACAGAGCAUAUUACAGUUGCAAAAGCAAUACGGCAAAGCUAAAAGACAAAUCCAGGCAAUUCCUGAGACACAGGAAGAGAUCAAAGAGCCCAUAAAAAUUCUCUCAGAAAUGAGGCUGCGGGAAAUAUUCAGAGAUCACAAACAUGAUAAAAUAUCACGAGACAAUGCAGUGAAUAACAUAAGAACUGAUGUCAUUGAGAAAAUUAAACAGGAACAUCCCAAUAUCGAUUCUACUGUUGUAUCGGAAGAAUUUUCAGCACUAAGCAAAGAGAUAUUCCGGUCGCUCAUCUUUGAAGACAAUGUAAGGUGUGACGGGCGAGAGCUUCAUGAAUUGCGUGACAUAUCGUGCCAAGUCAAUCUUCACAACCCCCUCCAUGGGUCUGCAGUAUUCCAGAGAGGACAAACGCAAGUGUUCUGUACAGUAACUCUAGAUUCACCGGAAAGUGCUCUGAAACUGGAUACCAUUUCUAUGCUGACAAGUGGAAUAAAGGAAAAAAAUUUUUUCUUGCACUACGAGUUUCCACCAUUUGCAACAAAUGAAACUGGACGUUCAGGACCGAGUGGACGAAGAGAGAUUGGUCACGGUGCUCUUGCCGAGCGAGGAUUACGUGCUGUUCUUCCCAAAGACUAUCCCUUUACUAUAAGGCUCACCAGCGAGGUAUUAGAGUCCAAUGGCUCUUCGUCAAUGGCAUCUGUUUGCGGUGGAAGUUUAGCCCUGAUGGAUGCUGGUGUUCCAAUAACCACAGCAGCUGCGGGGGUAGCGAUGGGUUUGAUUACAAAGUAUGAUGAAACUAAGCAGAUCAACGACUACAAAGUCCUCACAGAUUUAUUGGGUAUCGAAGACUACAUGGGCGACAUGGACUUCAAACUAGCAGGUACAAAGAAAGGGAUCACGGCCGUACAAGCGGACAUCAAAAUUCCCGGGAUUCCGUUAAAAAUUGUAUUUGAAGCAUUGCAGCAAGGCCAUAACGCGAAAUCAAAAAUCAUUGAGAUCAUGAAUUCUGCGAUCGCUAAGCCGAGAGAAGUGAAAAAACCAAAUAUGCCUGUGUCGGAAAUGCUUGAAGUACCCAUUCAUAUGCGAGCCAAGUUUGUUGGAAUUUCAGGCUCGAAUCUUAAAAAAAUACUCGUCGAAACUGGAGUUCAGGUGAAUCAAGUCGAUGACACGAUCUUCUCACUGUUUGCUCCUAAUCAAACUGCAAUGGACGAAGCAAAAGAAAUAAUUGAUCGGAUUCUUACUGCGGAACGUGAGCCAGUUUUAGAGUUUGGGGCAAUUUAUAAUGCCAAGAUUGUGGAGAUUCGUGACUUAGGAGUGAUGGUCACAUUGUAUCCGAGUAUGAAUCCGGCAUUGUUGCAUAAUUCGCAGUUGGAUCAACGGAAAGUAAAUCAUCCAAGUGCUCUGAAUUUCGAAGUUGGUCAAGAGAUACAUGUUAAAUAUUUUGGCCGAGAUCCUGUAUCAGGAGCGAUGAGGUUAUCGAGAAAAGUUCUACAAAGUGGUGCCGUCGCGCCUGUGAAAAAUUUUACAAAUUCGUGAAUAAGCGAUAUCUAGAACAAUAACAAAACGAAUUGCAAGCCAUGAUUUUUUACUUAUGAGCAGGUCGUUCAGGGAGAUCAGAAG